RNAcentral lists this ribosomal RNA (515 nucleotides) under uncultured bacterium. RNAcentral describes it as "bacterial SSU rRNA". It matches the Rfam family "Bacterial small subunit ribosomal RNA", at positions 23 to 518 of the family's 1533-position model. The record is from RNAcentral.
CUUAGAACGAACGCUGGCGGCGUGCUUAACACAUGCAAGUCGAACGCGAAAGGGACUUCGGUCCUGAGUAAAGUGGCGCACGGGUGAGUAACGCGUAGAUAACCUGUCUUCAUGUCUGGAAUAAUACGCCGAAAGGGGUACUAAUACCGGAUAUUCUUGCUUUUCAUAAGUUAUGCAAGCAAAGGUGGCCUCUGCAUAUGCUACUGCAUGAAGAGGGGUCUGCGUACCAUUAGCUAGUAGGUGGGGUAAUGGCCUACCUAGGCGACGAUGGUUAGCGGGUCUGAGAGGAUGAUCCGCCACACUGGCACUGGAACACGGGCCAGACUCCUACGGGAGGCAGCAGUGAGGAAUAUUGCGCAAUGGGGGAAACCCUGACGCAGCGACGCCGCGUGAGUGAGGAAGGCCUUCGGGUCGUAAAGCUCUGUCAAGAGGAAAGAAGUGUACAAUGGCUAAUACCUGUUGUAUUUGACGGUACCUCUAAAGGAAGCACCGGCUAACUCCGUGCCAGCCGCCGC